UGGGGAAUAUUGGGCAAUGGGCGAAAGCCUGACCUAGCGACGCCGCGUGAGGGAAGAAGGUCUUCGGAUUGUAAACCUCUUUCAGCAGGGAAGAAGAAAGUGACGGUACCUGCAGAAGAAGUCACGGCUAACUACGUGCCAGCAGCCGCGGUAAUACGUAGGUGGCGAGCGUUAUCCGGAAUUACUGGGUGUAAAGGGUGUGUAGGCGGGAGUGCAAGUCAGGCGUGAAAUAUACGGGCUCAACCCGUAAACUGCGCUUGAAACUGUGCUUCUUGAGUGUGGGAGAGGUAAACGGAAUUCCUGGUGUAGUAGUGAAAUGCGUAGAUAUCAGGAGGAACACCGGUGGCGAAGGCGGUUUACUGGACCACAACUGACGCUGAGACACGAAAGCGUGGGGAGCAAACAGGAUUAGAUACCCUGGUAGU
Molecule: ribosomal RNA, 425 nt
Filed under: uncultured Frankineae bacterium
Lineage: Bacteria; Bacillati; Actinomycetota; Actinomycetes; Frankiales
Description: bacterial SSU rRNA
Rfam family: Bacterial small subunit ribosomal RNA
Source: RNAcentral